CUCACAACCACAAAGCUCUAGCAGGGAGCUGUGUCCACCAGCCUUAUCUCAGACUUCACCAUUAGUUAACUCAUUUAUUUGGUUAAUUCCUCUAUAGAAAUCUCAGUCAAAACUGAAAUAUUGAUAUACAAACUUAUCAAUUCUCAUACAGAAUCUCUGUUUCUCUGUAUAUACAAACAGAAUAUAUUACAUAAAUAAAUAAAACCAAACGUUAUAAUAAUUAAAUAAAUAUAAUAUAACAAGACAUUAUGGACCAAUAUUUAGCCAAUAUAGCUAGCAACCCCCGUACCAGUUGGCUAGGGAGAAUCUAUGAAUUAUCAAAACAACAUAAAUUAGCGGAAGUCUUAUAAAAUAUGGGCAAACACUUGGCGAUAUUAAUCGAAUAUAACUUGUGACGCAACCACGAAAAUGAAACAAUACGAUAGUGUGUACAAUAAAUUAUUGACACAUACACAAAAUAUAUAUAAAUCAUGCGCAUCCGCGGUGCUCAAAUUAUUGUAGCACAAUAUAAACCAAUAUCCUACGCCUGAUGUAGCAUCCCUCUUAAAUCAAUACUACAUGAAACAUCAAACAAACUCAUCUCCAAACUGACUCAUAUUUAUAUUGGGUUGUUUUUAUCAAGAUAACCAUUAAAGUUAUAUAACAAGAUUUAUUUUAAAAACAUACAAACUAUCGUUACCAUCCCAAAACAGAAAAACUACAAUUAAUCUCACAAAAUAUGAGGGUAACUAUUUUAUAGGAUAAUACAUAUUAGCAGAUUUAUGUUCAUCGCAUAAAAAAAUAACUCCUUUUUAUAAUAAUUCUUUUAUGUCCUUUUCUUCAACAUAUAUAUAUAUAUAUAUAUAUAUAUAUAUAAAAGAUGUAUUGUAAUGUGCACAUUUAUAUAAUAAUAAAUAAUGGUAGUAUAUAUUAUAAAACUAAACAUCUGAAACUAAAAUAAAUAUUAAAAAUAUAAUGCUAUUAAAAAUAUAAUGGUUUUAUAAAAUAAAUAUAAAUAUUAAUAUUGUGAUCUCAUAAUUCUUUCAUUAUUUGUUUAUUUAUAAUAUUUUUCGAUAUAUAAUAAUUUUUAAAUACUUCAUAAAUUAAUAUAAAAUAACUUUUAUUAUAACUUCUCACCCGUAGGGCGGACCGACCCUAGUAUAUUAUAUAUCCUUGUUUAUCUCAAUAUUUUAUUCAUCGUUGUUUGUUUACUAAUUGUUGCUCUGUUUCUUUUUUGGAAACUUACAAUGGUUAUAUUGUUGAUGUAGGUUUUGGAACCGCCAGAAUUGUUAUGCAUGGUUCAAAAGAACAUGGAGGAGAAAGUGGUCCCAAUAGGAAAUGAGAUGCCAUUGCUAUUCCAUCGGGCAUGGUGACUUGGUGGUUCAACAACAGCCAAACCUACCUCGUCAUACUCUUCCUCCGCUAAACUGACGAGGGUAAAGAAGGCUUCAAGGAUUUUUACCUCGUCACAACUUUUCUCAUCAAAGGCUUGAUAUAAGCUUUACCGUGAACCUACUAUCUAGAUUUAGCUCAUGUCCGACCCAGAGGCAUUGGAAUGGAAUCAAACGUGUUCUUCGUUACCUGCAAAGAACGAAAAACUUGGAUCUAUAUUAUACAAACCAUAACAAAGAUGGUUUAGUUGGCUUUGUUGAUGCUGGUUAUUUAUCAGAUCCACAUCAAGAUCGAUCACAGACAAGAUAUGUCUUUACACAUGGAGGUACGGCCAUAUCAUGGCGUUCCAUGAAACAAACCAUCGCGGCCACUUCAUCUAAUCACUCGGAAAUCUUGGCCAUACAUGAGGCCAGCCGCGAGUGUGUUUGGUUGAGGUCGAUGACCCAACACGUCCGAACUAAUUGCGGGAUGGCCGAGUGCAAAAAGCCAACCGUGAUGUAUGAGGACAAUGCUGCGUGCAUUGCUCAGCUCAAGGACGGUUACAUAAAAGCAGUGUUUUUAAAACCGGACCGACCCGAUGGUUGGACCGGGUUCGACCAUGAACCAGUUAUAUAGCCAGGUUGGUCUAGUAAUUGGUUCGACCAUGAACCGGCCACAUAGCCGGAUUAUAUUUCAAAAUUAUUAAACCAAUAAAAACCACUAAAACUAUCAAAAAUCUACAAACCAUCCAUAUAAACAAAAAAUUAAUUUAUAUUUAUAAUAUUUUAUGUUAAAAUUGAUUUAUAUUUUAACUAUGCAUCAUGUUUACUAAUAUUACUUUUAUAUUUACAUACUAAAAAAAUAUUAAACCAUAUUAUUGAACCAGGUUUGACCCGGUCGAACCAUAUUGAACCGUAACCCAAAAUAUUUCCGGUUCACUGGCGAACUCAGGUUCCGGAGUCCUACUGUGAUGAAAGGUGUUUGCUUCUUCUUUAAAACGUAAUUCUUUUGUGUUUGGUGUUGGUAUGAAACUGUGUUGAGUUGCUUUUAAAGGUUAUUUCAAAAACGAAGAAAGCUACUGCUUCUACUAUUGAUUCAGAAGGAUGGUUGAAGACCGGAGAUGUGUGUUACAUUAACAGUGAAGGUUUUGUCUUUGCUGUUGAUAGAUUAUAGGAGCUAUCAGAUGCAACGGUUAUCAGGUACGAAACAAAAAAUUACAUAUAAUCAACUUGUGUUUGAUCUUCUUAAUGUUUUAAAACUUAUAAAUUUGGUUAGAAGCAGUGUUGCUAGCUCAUCCAGAGAUUGCUGAUGCAGCAGUAAUACCGUGAGAACUUGCUUUUAAACAUGACCCAUCACUAAAUUCUUCUCUUUAAUGACCUUUUUUGAGGCUUUAGCUCUUACUUUUUUAUCUUAUUGUUUUUGAAGUAUCCUGACACGAAAGCUUGGCAAUAUCCAAUGGCAUAUAUCAUCAGAACAGCUGGAAUCAACUUAUCCGAAAGUGAAAUCAUUAUCUUAGUCGCAAAGCAGGUGUUUUCAACCAUGCAGACCAUGUUUUGUAACUAAUCCAGCCGUGGUUCCUUAUAUUUAUUCUGAGUUUUGUUUGGAUUACGUAGGUAUCUCCAUACAAGAGGAUAUGUAAGGUCAGUCACGGUUUUGUCUUCGAUCCCCGAGAAUCCCACUGGCAAGAUUUUAAGAAGAGAACUUAUAAAGCUCACAACCACAAAGCUCUAGCAGGGAGCUGUGUCCACCAGCCUUAUCUCAGACUUCACCAUUAGUUAACUCAUUUAUUUGGUUAAUUCCUCUAUAGAAAUCUCAGUCAAAACUGAAAUAUUGAUAUACAAACUUAUCAAUUCUCAUACAGAAUCUCUGUUUCUCUGUAUAUACAAACAGAAUAUAUUACAUAAAUAAAUAAAACCAAAC
Molecule: long non-coding RNA, 3270 nt
Filed under: Brassica napus (rape)
Lineage: Eukaryota; Viridiplantae; Streptophyta; Magnoliopsida; Brassicales; Brassicaceae
Description: long non-coding RNA (BNAP_LNC021657)
Source: RNAcentral